UUGUGAGAAUUGACGUGUCUAUCAUUUUUCAAAGCAGAAAUCCUAUUCCAAACAAACACUUUCCUUCCAACUAACGUCGUCGUUCCGUAUGUCCAAUCUAUAAAUACACGCAGUUUGCAGACCUUUCAACCACGCAAAACCUACUCAGGCGGCUGUAGGUACUCCAUCCCAGGAAUCAAGCUUAGAUAUGAAUUGAAGCUGAUUCGUGUUCAAUUCGAUGAACUUCUGUGUCACACAAGUGAAGAAGCAUCAUGGCUUGGUAUUCAACUAACGGAUUGCGGUCAUGUUCUCAAGGCCAUCUUCCAAGCUGUCCAGAACGGGAGUUUGAGUUCGAUUUCGAGAUGCUGAGGGAGAAUUCAAGACUUGUGCAUAUCAAAGAUGAAAAAUCAAUAUUCAUAUUUUCUCUAGCUGUUAUGCAUCGUCUAGCUAAAAUCUUUUCUUUAAACUUAAAAAGAGAUUUUAGGUUGACGAUACAGGACGGCAAGAGGAAAAUAGGUGUUUAGCCUUUAUCUUUGUGCAUAAUUCGAGGAACACUGGUAUUUUUAUAAAGAUGGCGACGAGAUCAGCACCAUUGCAUAUAGCAAAGAUGUCAGCAGCUUUCACCAUGGCAUCCCCGGUGCAACUAAGGUUCUCUCUCAUUUCAAGUUUCUUAUGUAUAACUUCUUUGUUUUAUAUAGGAAGGAACUGGAUUCCACGAAGAAUUGGAGAUUUGCGAACUCACAAGAAUCAAAGCCCCAAUGCACAUGAAGCCCCAACGCAACACCCUACUCCCUGUUUGAGAAAAAUACAACCGUAAAGGAAAACCUUAUCUGCCGUGUUCAAGAUCAAUCAAGACGUCAUUUUUAACCGCUGCAAAAAUUGUAUCAAAUAAGAAUAAUUUACAGUUAUUAAAGUAGUUGAUUACGAGGAAUUAUUGUGCUUGU
Long non-coding RNA from Juglans microcarpa x Juglans regia, 923 nucleotides. RefSeq lists it as uncharacterized. The record is from RefSeq and is a predicted model, not a curated record. The transcript is spliced from 2 exons. Lineage: Eukaryota; Viridiplantae; Streptophyta; Magnoliopsida; Fagales; Juglandaceae.